CUGGCGGAAUGCUUUACACAUGCAAGUCGAGCGGCAGCGCGGGGCAACCUGGCGGCGAGCGGCGAACGGGUGAGUAACAUAUCGGAACGUAUCCUUUAGUGGGGGAUAACGCAGCGAAAGCUGUGCUAAUACCGCAUACGAUCGGGAGAUGAAAGCGGGGGAUCGCAAGACCUCGCGCUAAAGGAGUGGCCGAUAUCAGAUUAGCUAGUUGGUGAGGUAAAGGCUCACCAAGGCGACGAUCUGUAGCUGGUCUGAGAGGAUGAUCAGCCACACUGGAACUGAGACACGGUCCAGACUCNUACGGGAGGCAGCAGUGGGGAAUUUUGGACAAUGGGGGCAACCCUGAUCCAGCCAUUCCGCGUGAGUGAAGAAGGCCUUCGGGUUGUAAAGCUCUUUUGUUGGGGACGAAAACGGUUACGGUUAAUACCCGNUGACAACUGACNGGUACCCGAAGAAUNAAGCANCGGGCUAACUACGUUGCCAGCAGCCGCGGUAAUACGUAGGGUGCGAGCGUUUAAUCGG
RNAcentral lists this ribosomal RNA (522 nucleotides) under uncultured beta proteobacterium. RNAcentral describes it as "bacterial SSU rRNA". It matches the Rfam family "Bacterial small subunit ribosomal RNA", at positions 36 to 542 of the family's 1533-position model. Lineage: Bacteria; Pseudomonadati; Pseudomonadota; Betaproteobacteria. The record is from RNAcentral.